Limanda limanda (common dab) is the source of this 759-nucleotide long non-coding RNA. RefSeq lists it as uncharacterized. The transcript is spliced from 3 exons. Lineage: Eukaryota; Metazoa; Chordata; Actinopteri; Pleuronectiformes; Pleuronectidae. The record is from RefSeq and is a predicted model, not a curated record.
CUCACACACGGACUCACUCACACACACACACACUCUCUCUGUAUAAAGAAGCUCGCUGAUCCAGAAGCAGAGGAGAGUCUUCGUCUUUUUUCUUCUUUGGUUGUGUGAGAAACAGAGAGAGAGAGAAACAGAGAGAAACAGAGAGAGAGAGAGAGGCUCCUGCUUCUGGUGGCGACGGAUCAGGUCCGAGUGGAGGGAGAGGAGGAGGAAGAGGAGGAGGAGGGAGGGGAGCCGAUCACACUGCUGGAGGAGGAGGAGGAGGAAAGAUUUCUUUGUAUCACAAUGAGGAUCACACUGGUUCAGCCUGUAACCGUGUUGACUUCCCAGACGACGUGCCUUAGUUUGCAUGUAAACAUAAGGACCAUGUUGGCAUACAAACAUUUCAUUAUAAUUUGGUGACGUUACAGCAUAAAAAGGGGUUGUAUAUUUCAAGCCUGACGAUUUUGGUCUGAAAGGAAACAAAUGAACAAAGCAGAAAAAACAAGAUUCGAGAAUACAUGUCAAAACAGAAGACUUUAAAACAGAGAAAUGACAUCGUAUAUGACAAUGUUCGGCUUUUGUAUGAAGAGGAAAAAGAGACGUUUAUGAUUUUGUGUGUGUUUUUGUGUGUCAGUCCAGCUCCUGUAUCAGUGUGGAGGCCUGAGAAACACACCCGCUCCGACCAUGUGUCAUUGUUUGAUUUCCUGCCAAAUGUUUGCACAACCCUACAUUUUUUUCGAAGAAAAUAAAAGAAACAAUUUUGAAAACAUGUCAAGAGAC